CCCACCCCACCACUCUCUCUCUCAUCCUUAAAAAAACUCUCUCACGAACUCACCUGCUCCUCUCCCCACAAUCUCCUCGCCGCCGCCACCACCCAUGCAGGCCAGUUUCGGCAAGCACCGGCUGCGCGCAACACUCCCCCAAGCUCCCACCUUCCUCCGCUCCGAUCCCCAUGGAAGCCACCGCCGCCGCCUCCCUCGCGCGGACCCUUGCCUCCUCGCCGCUCCCCUCGCGGCUUCCGCCGUAGCCGCGUGCGCAUGUCCGUGGCGCCGGAGUGGCAGAGGAGGGGCAGGGUGGUGCUCGCCGCGGCGGCCUCGACUGGCAACUACGUGGUGCCGUUGGAUGCCGCGCCAUUGGGGAUCACGCGUCCGCUCGUCGAGAUCCUGCGCGACCUCAACAAGCGCGUCCCGGAGACCACCGUGCUCCCCGCCGCGCCUCCGCCUCCGCUUCCGACCUCAACAAGCGUUGGUGAUUAGCAUAGUUGGGCGGGCAAGCUCUGCCGCUGCCGCCGGAGGCUCCAGCUCCUGCGAGUGUACGUUGCACGGGAAGGGGGAGUGCGCCUUGAACGAGUCCGACGACGGGAGGGCCCAGCAGCUGUCGAUGCAGAAUGAGCGGGCCGUCCAUGACGUGCUGGCGAGCUGGGGCGGCCGAAGUGACGUGGCCACUUCGCUAUGGCAGGACGCCUACCACGCCAGUCUGUCUCGCCUCUGGUGAUGAAGUGCUCGGCUCCAGUAGCGUCAGACUGGGGCCUCCUUGUGGUCACGAGGUGUUUGUGGAAAUGCCACAAUGCUGCUGCACGUGUGUUGCAGUCAAAGAGGGGAGAGUGUACCAUACCAACCGGAUGCUCAGCUUCUACGCCCCCAGUGAGCCUCCCCCAUUUGCUGAUUCUAAAACUGCUCAACCUUUUCAGAUCACCGAAGACUUCUCGACAAGUUGGUGUUGUAUGGCCUGGUUGAGCUCAAGGUUAACGGAGACAACAAUUGUCAGUUUCGGGCAUUGUCUGAUCCAUUUUACCGAACUCCUGAACACCAUAGAUUUGUGUGGCAACAGGUGGUCAAUCAGCAGCACAGCCGUAUGUACAAGAAGCAGAGCGCAUCAGUUCAUGCUCGAGCCCCGAAGAAGGUAGCAACGUUUGGGUUUUCCUCAAGGAUGCCAGACACUAUUUAAAGGUUCUAGUGGCGAUGCCGACGGUCGUCGAGAGGUUCGUGGACUGGACGGUGUCGUGUCUGCCGAUGUACGGAGAGGCGAAGCUACUGCUCAUCAUCUACCUCUGGUAGCCCAGCACACGGGGUGCGGGGCACAUGUACGAUGGCUUCCUCCAUCCGCUGGUGUCGUGGCACGAGGCUGACAUCGACCGGGGCCUACUUGAGCUGAGGGCUAGUGCGAGGGACGUGACGGCGUCACAACUCAAGGCGGCGGCUGCCAUCGGUCAAGUGUGGCUCGUCAAGGCUGCCCGCUAUGUUUCGUCGCAGCUGCAGGCCGCGAGAUCAGGCCGGGAAGGCGCCACACAUUGAGGAGUGAGCCAAUUUUUGGAUCGGACCAUAACAACGUGUCUCAGUCUCUGACGUCUAGAAGUAGUGGUAAAUUUUUGAAUUUGCAUGGCAAGGACCACUUACGUAGGUAGCUGACACGCACAAUACUAUGUUUACACUCUUACUUAUGUAAAAGAUAUGAAUUAUACAUGAGUUGCCUCUACAAUGAGGAACUGUGAUAGUAGAUACGACAAUUGUGUGAUAGAAUGGAAUUGAUUGAUUUUAUUUU
Molecule: ribosomal RNA, 1759 nt
Filed under: Triticum aestivum (bread wheat)
Lineage: Eukaryota; Viridiplantae; Streptophyta; Magnoliopsida; Poales; Poaceae
Description: partial small subunit ribosomal RNA
Source: RNAcentral